UUUUACUCUUGCCCUUUUAUUUUUUUAUUUUUUUCUUCAACCGUAUUUCUACGGUCUAUCCGUUUGUAGUUGUUUCAAAAAGGGGGGCAACACCGAGGUCCCCCCAGACACAGAAAAAGA
This 120-nucleotide non-coding RNA is filed under the name Chromera velia. Lineage: Eukaryota; Chromeraceae. The record is from RNAcentral.